This 75-nucleotide small RNA is filed under the name Elstera litoralis. Its description in RNAcentral is "Makes More Granules Regulator RNA (mmgR)". It matches the Rfam family "Makes More Granules Regulator RNA (mmgR)". Rfam says of the family: SuhB later renamed mmgR (makes more granules regulator) was a putative non-coding RNA found multiple times in the Agrobacterium tumefaciens genome and related alpha-proteobacteria. Other non-coding RNAs uncovered in the same analysis include: speF, ybhL, metA, and serC. Lineage: Bacteria; Pseudomonadati; Pseudomonadota; Alphaproteobacteria; Rhodospirillales; Rhodospirillaceae. The record is from Rfam by way of RNAcentral.
AUGAUUUGUCCGCUCUGCGGACGUUUCCUCCCUAAACUCGGGCUGCGCUUGUCGCAGCCCCUUUUUUUUGCCUGA